GCCGGGUACGGUGGUGCCUACCUGUAGUCCCAGCUACUUGGGAGGCUGAAGCUGGGGGAUCGCUUGAGUCCGGGAGUACUGGGCUGUAUUGCGCUAUGCCAAUCGGGUGUCCACACUAAGUUCGGCAUCAAUAUGCUGACCUCCCCAGAGCAGGGGACCACCAGGUUGCCUAGGGAGGGGUGAACCGGCCCAGAUUGGAAAUGGAGCAGGUCAAAACUCCAUGCUGAUCAGUAGUGGGAUCGCGCCUGUGAAUAGCCACUGCACUCCAGCCUGGGCAACAUAGUGAGACCCCGUCUCU
This 298-nucleotide signal recognition particle RNA is filed under the name Aotus nancymaae (Ma's night monkey). RNAcentral's name for it is "Metazoan signal recognition particle RNA (ENSANAG00000011086.1)". It matches the Rfam family "Metazoan signal recognition particle RNA". From Rfam's summary of the family: The signal recognition particle (SRP) is a universally conserved ribonucleoprotein. It is involved in the co-translational targeting of proteins to membranes. Lineage: Eukaryota; Metazoa; Chordata; Mammalia; Primates; Aotidae. The record is from RNAcentral.